ACUUUAAUGUGGAAGUACUCACUUUGUUCCUAAAAAAAAGGUGAGUGCUUCCAUGUUUUAGUGA
RNAcentral lists this microRNA precursor (64 nucleotides) under Sphenodon punctatus (tuatara). RNAcentral describes it as "Spt-Mir-430-P3_pre stem-loop". Lineage: Eukaryota; Metazoa; Chordata; Lepidosauria; Sphenodontia; Sphenodontidae. The record is from RNAcentral.